RNAcentral lists this long non-coding RNA (735 nucleotides) under Bos indicus x Bos taurus (hybrid cattle). Its description in RNAcentral is "lncRNA (ENSBIXG00000014981.1)". Lineage: Eukaryota; Metazoa; Chordata; Mammalia; Artiodactyla; Bovidae. The record is from RNAcentral.
AUGCUGCAUGCGAGAUGCGGGAUGCUGGGCACUGGAGGCCCGGGACGCGGGUCCGAGAGCGCGGAAGGGGCGGGGCUGGGCAGCCUAAGAGGCCGCGGUCGCUCCGGACCGCCCUGCCCCAUGUUCCUCCCCGCGUCCCUCCGGCUCCUGGCGCUUCGUAGAGCCCAAAGGCUGAGAGGGGUUAGAGGCGCCGAUCACACCCUAGAAGUCGUUUAUGUCGAGCUGUGGAUGUUACAAGCGUUAUUUGGCCAGGACAGCGAGAUGCUGGCGGCCUUCUACGGGUGGUUCAGGGUCUCCCUCGUGGUCAGCGCAGUCCCAGGAUGCGGAGUCCUGGUCUUCAUCAUCGGAUCGCCCCUUUACCAGUAUGUGACCAAGUUCCUCAUCGUGGCAAUAUGUUUCCAGCUUCGGGUCCGCCGAAAUCGAGUGUUCUUUCCAGGUUAUGAUGGAGAAAAGAAAAUUUCUGGGAGUCCCCCCCCCCCCCCCUACAACUCCCACUCUGGAUGGAGCUCUCCUUUUCUGCCUGGGUCCCUACCAGGAAGAGUGGGGAACUCCAAGGAGGGAGGUGCCUGUUGUGGGGGUGCUGCUGAGCAACCCAGGCAGAAGUGCUCGGCAAUGGAUGAACUCUCCCUAAUCCAGUCCUCAUCGAAGCUGGAAUCAAGAUUGCUGGGAGAAAUAUCAAUAACCUCAGAUAUGCAGAUGACACCACCCUUAUGGCAGAAAGUGAAGAGGAACUAA